RNAcentral lists this ribosomal RNA (465 nucleotides) under uncultured bacterium. RNAcentral's name for it is "partial 16S ribosomal RNA". It matches the Rfam family "Bacterial small subunit ribosomal RNA", at positions 28 to 507 of the family's 1533-position model. The record is from RNAcentral.
GACGAACGCUGGCGGCGUGCUUAACAUAUGCAAGUCGAACGGAAAGGCCCUGCUUGCAGGGUACUCGAGUGGCGAACGGGUGAGUAACACGUGGGUGAUCUGCCCUGCACUUCGGGAUAAGCCUGGGAAACUGGGUCUAAUACCGGAUAGGAGCCAUUUUUAGUGUGAUGGUUGGAAGGUUUUUUCGGUGUAGGAUGAGCUCGCGGCCUAUCAGCUUGUUGGUGGGGUAAUGGCCUACCAAGGCGGCGACGGGUAGCCGGCCUGAGAGGGUGGACGGCCACAUUGGGACUGAGAUACGGCCCAGACUCCUACGGGAGGCAGCAGUGGGGAAUAUUGCACAAUGGGCGCAAGCCUGAUGCAGCGACGCCGCGUGGGGGAUGACGGCCUUCGGGUUGUAAACUCCUUUCGCUAGGGACGAAGCUUUUUGUGACGGUACCUAGAUAAGAAGCACCGGCUAACUACGUG